UUUGAGGUGCUACAGCUGCCCCUAUUCAAUCAACUGGGAACCCGAAUGGAUGAGAGCAACGGCUGUCAGACUUUCAGGGUAAACAGGGAUUGAAUACCGAGUACCGUAGAAAUUUGCACACUGCUGGGAAUUAUUUUUCUUGUUUUUGUUGUUUUUUUUUUUCAGAGGUACAAGCACAUCCAGACAUCGACACACGAUGAAUGGGAUCAGAAAU
This 214-nucleotide long non-coding RNA is filed under the name Lathyrus oleraceus (garden pea). RNAcentral describes it as "Pisum sativum (pea) long non-coding RNA (PSAT_LNC008030)". Lineage: Eukaryota; Viridiplantae; Streptophyta; Magnoliopsida; Fabales; Fabaceae. The record is from RNAcentral.